ACAACCUGACUCAUAAUAAUAUAAUAUGCACAGCGGAAUGAAAUGCUAAUAUUAUAAAACAAUAAUAUGACCCCUACAUGCAACUGGAUCGUACACAAUUUAUGAUAUGAAACAAGCACUAAUAAAACCAUAAUGUGAUUACACACUACACACCUACCUAGAGUAGCUUUUACAGUAAACCACACAAACCCUCCAAAAGUCUAAAUAAGUUUUAUGGCUAGUUCAAAUUUUAUUACAUACUACCAAAAGUUCUAUGUAUACUCUGGAUUCUUUCUACCUGAGCAGGGAGGUUGAACCGAAAUAUCUGUGGAUGGCUAAGUGGGACCCUCUUGCGAGCGGUAAGACGCAUCCUCGGCAUACUUAGGUCUGGCUGAAAGUUUAGCACAACAGUAACAAAGCAAGAAUGAGCAACUAGAAGGCUCAACAAUAUAUAUAUAAAAUGCUUAAAUGUAAAGCAUUAAUAAGUGCUAUUCUUCUGGAAGGAAAAGAUAAGGAAUAAUAGUCUCUCAUGAAAACCGAAAGCAAUAUUAGCUUAAGUAAUCAAAUUAAAAAUUUUGAUUUCAACUUUCACUGACGGGUGUACUAUCACAGCUGAUCAGCACGUGUAAUAGUACGGGAUCACACUUCGUAGAAGCAUGUCCUAAUUCACAGGUACCAAAUAUAAGGCAACACAUUGGCCUUUGGCAGAAAAGUAUUAUCAUAUUUCAAUAAUACCCAAAUAGCCCUUCACUGGACCGCCGUCCCGGCCUCUUACGCAAAAACGUUUUAUUUUCUUAGGGAGUUGAAUCACUCAACUCUCUCGAUCAACAAACUCGCCAUUUCACAUGGUCCGGAGUAGUCAUAUCAACUGAUGGCAACAUAACUAGAAUAAUUAGUUAUUUGCUAAUUAUGAAUUUCAACUCUUGUACUGUUUGGAGUAUAUCUGGUUAACAUAGUUUUCACUAUCUAUCUUAGAAGUAAUUCGAGAAUUCUAGUAGAAUGACUACUAGAAUGUAGGGAAUUCAAUCAUUGGAAUGUAUUGAAUUCAAUCAUUAUUUGAGUAUAUCUGUAUGGUGUAUGGAAUAUUGAACAACAAUUAAAUCCCAAGCAUAUGAUAUUCUAUGAAUUGAAAUUCUGAAUAUAAUAAUUGCAUUGGUAAUAAUUAAAAUUUGUGGAAUAAAAUCACUUGCUCUUAAUAAAUAAGAGAAGAAUAGAAAUACUUGCCUUUUGCUGUACGCUAACUGGUACUUGCUUUAGAACCUGGAGUCACUAUCAACUCUUGAAUCUAUAAUUCAAAAAGUAUUGAUUCAACAACUCGGGUUAACUCAAUUGAUAUACUCAUAUAUCUCGCGAAACAUAAACUACCCCUUCGUUUAUACUAAUCAUGGCAUCAACAUGUAAGUCAUGUAUCACAUAAUCAUGUACUUCAUAUAACAUGUGAUUCUGGUUAUCACGUGUCGGGUUUAGCUCAGAUGUUUAUCCUAGUUAUGAACUCCACUAAAAUGAAUUAAUCAACUCUUGGAAAAUGGGACGAUAUGCUUAUACCCUUUAAAUAAACAAUCGGUUAAUAACCAAUAAUCCAAAUAGACCACUAAGUCACCAGCUUGUACUUAAGCAUGCCAUCAUUUAACAGUUAACAAUUUGUGCAAAUCGAAACAGUACUUUAUAAUUAUACUCAGCUUUGGAAUAAUAUUCGCAAUAUUAUUAAUAACAAUCCGGGAAUCAAAUAUUACAUCUAGUAAUUAGUAGUACUAAUACAAUUUGCAUAUAACAUGAAUAGGCAAAAAUAUGUAUAUUAAUUUUAUUUAUAUCAUUAAUAUUAUUAUUAUCGUGGGUACAAUAAUAAUAAUAAAAAUAAUACAAAUACAACUAAUAUAACUUUUCUUUUCCGAAGUUCCGGCAGCCCCUCUCCGGCCACCCUGGUUCCCCGCUGCGGUUCCCUUUCCGGCAUCCCUUCGCCGGAAUCAAUCACUGGCCCCUCUCUUCUUAUCUCCCUCUCUCUCUCUCUCUCUCUCUCUCUCUCUCUCUUGGACCCUGCUUUCGGUUUCCGGCGACACUCGCCCCUCUGUUCUUCUUUCUGCCGCCUGCAACUCGCCAUCGCCUCCACUUCUAGUCUGCCUCGUCGCCCCCAUCGUCCCUACCAAACUUCGACCAUAACACCCACGCCACAGCACCAGCGUGACAACGACUCUACCGCCGGCAGAGUCUCGCCGUCGCUGCGUCUCCAACCUCCGGCGAAAUCGUCGCCUCCUCUGCUCACCCGAUCGACUCCAACCGAACACCCCACAACUCAGUCAAUCAACGACCAACCCAUCAGUCCAUCUCCUUCAAUCCCCAAACCCUCGAUUAAACUCCAGCCAUCACUAACCCUCCCCCACCUCCUUAAUUCAAACGAAACCAACACAGCACAUAAUCAUACAAUUGAUAUACACAUAAGUACAUACAAUAGCACUUGUUAUAUAGAGUAAUCUCACCUGUCUGGAUCAAUUCACUCGAACACUCAAACCCUAGUUCCUUAUUUCUCCUUUCUUUUCUGUACCGCCGACUCUGUUUCUGUAAAUAUGUGCGGGCUUUUGUUUUGUUUCUAAGGCCUUAUCUGAUUUUACGGGUGUCUGAUAUUAUCUCUUGAUGUGCCCACGUGUCACUGUAUAGGGUAGCCACAACUCUAC
This 2648-nucleotide long non-coding RNA is filed under the name Daucus carota (carrot). Its description in RNAcentral is "long non-coding RNA (DCAR_LNC001357)". Lineage: Eukaryota; Viridiplantae; Streptophyta; Magnoliopsida; Apiales; Apiaceae. The record is from RNAcentral.